RNAcentral lists this ribosomal RNA (235 nucleotides) under uncultured bacterium. RNAcentral describes it as "partial 16S ribosomal RNA". It matches the Rfam family "Bacterial small subunit ribosomal RNA", at positions 524 to 759 of the family's 1533-position model. The record is from RNAcentral.
UACGAAGGGGGCUAGCGUUGCUCGGAAUCACUGGGCGUAAAGGGUGCGUAGGCGGGUCUUUAAGUCAGGGGUGAAAUCCUGGAGCUCAACUCCAGAACUGCCUUUGAUACUGAGAUCUUGAGUUCGGGAGAGGUGAGUGGAACUGCGAGUGUAGAGGUGAAAUUCGUAGAUAUUCGCAAGAACACCAGUGGCGAAGGCGGCUCACUGGCCCGAUACUGACGCUGAGGCACGAAAG